AUUGAACGCUGGCGGCAGGCUUAACACAUGCAAGUCGAGCGGUAGCACAGGGGAGCUUGCUCCCUGGGUGACGAGCGGCGGACGGGUGAGUAAUGUCUGGGAAACUGCCUGAUGGAGGGGGAUAACUACUGGAAACGGUAGCUAAUACCGCAUAACGUCGCAAGACCAAAGAGGGGGACCUUCGGGCCUCUUGCCAUCAGAUGUGCCCAGAUGGGAUUAACUAGUAGGUGGGGUAAUGGCUCACCUAGGCGACGAUCCCUAGCUGGUCUGAGAGGAUGACCAGCCACACUGGAACUGAGACACGGUCCAGACUCCUACGGGAGGCAGCAGUGGGGAAUAUUGCACAAUGGGCGCAAGCCUGAUGCAGCCAUGCCGCGUGUGUGAAGAAGGCCUUCGGGUUGUAAAGCACUUUCAGCGAGGAGGAAGGUGGUGAGCUUAAUACGUUCAUCAAUUGACGUUACUCGCAGAAGAAGCACCGGCUAACCCCGUG
This 490-nucleotide ribosomal RNA is filed under the name uncultured bacterium. RNAcentral describes it as "partial 16S ribosomal RNA". It matches the Rfam family "Bacterial small subunit ribosomal RNA", at positions 30 to 507 of the family's 1533-position model. The record is from RNAcentral.